Molecule: ribosomal RNA, 495 nt
Filed under: uncultured bacterium
Lineage: Bacteria
Description: partial 16S ribosomal RNA
Rfam family: Bacterial small subunit ribosomal RNA
Source: RNAcentral
GACGAACGCUGGCGGCGUGCCUAAUACAUGCAAGUAGAACGCUGAAGGAGGAGCUUGCUCUUCUGGAUGAGUUGCGAACGGGCGAGUAACGCGUAGGUAACCUGCCUGGUAGCGGGGGAUAACUAUUGGAAACGAUAGCUAAUACCGCAUAAGAGUAGAUGUUGCAUGACAUUUACUUAAAAGGUGCAAUUGCAUCACUACCAGAUGGACCUGCGUUGUAUUAGCUAGUUGGUGGGGUAACGGCUUACCAAGGCGACGAUACAUAGCCGACCUGAGAGGGUGAUCGGCCACACUGGGACUGAGACACGGCCCAGACUCCUACGGGAGGCAGCAGUAGGGAAUCUUCGGCAAUGGACGGAAGUCUGACCGAGCAACGCCGCGUGAGUGAAGAAGGGUUUCGGAUCGUAAAGCUCUGUUGUAAGAGAAGAACGAGUGUGAGAGUGGAAAGUUCACACUGUGACGGUAUCUUACCAGAAAGGGACGGCUAACUACGUG